Molecule: ribosomal RNA, 883 nt
Filed under: uncultured Mycoplasma sp.
Lineage: Bacteria; Bacillati; Mycoplasmatota; Mollicutes; Mycoplasmatales; Mycoplasmataceae
Description: bacterial SSU rRNA
Rfam family: Bacterial small subunit ribosomal RNA
Source: RNAcentral
AAGUGACAGCAAACUAUGUGCCAGCAGCUGCGGUAAUACAUAGGUCGCGAGCGUUAUUCGGAUUUAUUGGGCGUAAAGCAAGCGCAGGCGGAUGGAUAAGUUCUGUGUGAAAAGCAGUUGCUCAACAGCUGUUGGCGCCGAAUACUAUCCAUCUAGAAUACGGUAGAAAGUUUUGGAAUUGAAUAUGGAGCGGUGGAAUGUGUAGAUAUAUUCAAGAACACCAGAGGCGAAGGCGAAAACUUAGGCCGUUAUUGACGCUUAGGCUUGAAAGUGUGGGGAGCAAAUGGGAUUAGAUACCCCAGUAGUCCACACCGUAAACGAUGGGUAUUAAGUCUUGGGGCUAGUGCCUCAGGGUUGUAGCUUACGUGUUAAAUACCCCGCCUGGGUAGUACAUAUGCAAAUAUGAAACUCAAAGGAAUUGACGGGGACCUGAACAAGUGGUGGAACAUGUUGCUUAAUUCGAUAAUACACGAAAAACCUUACCAAGAUUUGACAUCCCCCGCAAAGCUUUAGAAAUAAAGUGGAGGUUACCGGGGUGACAGGUGGUGCAUGGUUGUCGUCAGCUCGUGUCAUGAGAUGUUGGGUUAAGUCCCGCAACGAGCGCAACCCUACUCUCUAGUUAAUUGUUUAGAGAGACUGAACAGUAAUGUAUAGGAAGGUCGGGAUCACGUCAAAUCAUCAUGCCCCUUAUGUCUUGGGCCGCAAACGUGUUACAAUGGCGAGCACAGCGUGCAGCAAACCAGCAAUGGCAAGCAAAUCACUAAAAACUCGUCUCAGUCCGGAUAAAAGGCUGCAAUUCGCCUUUUUGAAGUUGGAAUCACUAGUAAUCCCGUGUCAGCUAUAUCGGGGUGAAUACGUUCCCAGGUCUUGUACACACCGCCCG